This 21-nucleotide non-coding RNA is filed under the name Caenorhabditis elegans. The record is from RNAcentral. Lineage: Eukaryota; Metazoa; Nematoda; Chromadorea; Rhabditida; Rhabditidae.
UGUGCCGCUAUGUUCAACAUC